GGAUAGAUGGCUGAGUGGUUGAAGGCAUUAGACUUGAAAUCUAACGUACAUAAAAUGUAUCGUGGGUUCGAAUCCCACUCUAUCCU
RNAcentral lists this transfer RNA (86 nucleotides) under Pedobacter sp. RNAcentral's name for it is "tRNA-Ser". It matches the Rfam family "tRNA". From Rfam's summary of the family: Transfer RNA (tRNA) molecules are approximately 80 nucleotides in length. Their secondary structure includes four short double-helical elements and three loops (D, anti-codon, and T loops). Further hydrogen bonds mediate the characteristic L-shaped molecular structure. tRNAs have two regions of fundamental functional importance: the anti-codon, which is responsible for specific mRNA codon recognition, and the 3' end, to which the tRNAs corresponding amino acid is attached (by aminoacyl-tRNA synthetases). tRNAs cope with the degeneracy of the genetic code in two manners: having more than one tRNA (with a specific anti-codon) for a particular amino acid; and 'wobble' base-pairing, i.e. permitting non-standard base-pairing at the 3rd anti-codon position. Lineage: Bacteria; Pseudomonadati; Bacteroidota; Sphingobacteriia; Sphingobacteriales; Sphingobacteriaceae. The record is from RNAcentral.